Molecule: ribosomal RNA, 155 nt
Filed under: Polystira sp. R-GAN-3
Lineage: Eukaryota; Metazoa; Mollusca; Gastropoda; Neogastropoda; Turridae
Description: partial large subunit ribosomal RNA
Source: RNAcentral
UACUAAAGCAAUUAGAUACUUUAUUUCUGAAUAUUUAUUUGUUCAAAACAUUACUAUAUUUAGUAAGGGAGAUUAAAAAUUAUUAUGUAUUCUUAGGCCUUAAGUACUGUAGGGGAACAGUUAAUUAAAUAAAAGAAAAGAAAAAAUUAAAUUUU